Molecule: transfer RNA, 72 nt
Filed under: Camelus bactrianus (Bactrian camel)
Lineage: Eukaryota; Metazoa; Chordata; Mammalia; Artiodactyla; Camelidae
Also listed under: 3 other names
Rfam family: tRNA
About the family: Transfer RNA (tRNA) molecules are approximately 80 nucleotides in length. Their secondary structure includes four short double-helical elements and three loops (D, anti-codon, and T loops).
Source: Rfam by way of RNAcentral
GAGGGUAUAGCUCAGUGGUAGAGCACAUGCCUAGCAUGCACAAGGUCCUGGGUUCAAUCCCCAGUACCUCUU